GCUCCUGUAGUUCAAUUGGAUAGAACAGAGGCGUCCUAAGCCUUUAAUGCAGGUUCGAGUCCUGCCAGGGGCA
Molecule: transfer RNA, 73 nt
Filed under: Candidatus Jacksonbacteria bacterium RIFCSPHIGHO2_02_FULL_43_10
Lineage: Bacteria; Candidatus Jacksoniibacteriota
Also listed under: 3 other names
Description: tRNA-Arg
Rfam family: tRNA
About the family: Transfer RNA (tRNA) molecules are approximately 80 nucleotides in length.
Source: RNAcentral